RNAcentral lists this ribosomal RNA (253 nucleotides) under uncultured bacterium. RNAcentral's name for it is "partial 16S ribosomal RNA". It matches the Rfam family "Bacterial small subunit ribosomal RNA", at positions 524 to 776 of the family's 1533-position model. The record is from RNAcentral.
GACAGAGGUGCCGAGCGUUAGGCGGAAUCACUGGGCUUAAAGCGUGUGUAGGCGGGCGGGCAAGUACCUUGUGAAAUCCCACGGCUCAACCGUGGAACGGCUGGGUAUACUGCCUGUCUUGAGCCAACUAGGGGCGAGCGGAACAGACGGUGGAGCGGUGAAAUGCGUAGAUAUCGGGAGGAACACCUGUGGCGAAAGCGGCUCACUGGACCACAACUGACGCUGAGGCGCGAAAGCUAGGGGAGCAAACAGG